RNAcentral lists this ribosomal RNA (254 nucleotides) under uncultured bacterium. RNAcentral describes it as "partial 16S ribosomal RNA". It matches the Rfam family "Bacterial small subunit ribosomal RNA", at positions 524 to 776 of the family's 1533-position model. The record is from RNAcentral.
UACGUAGGGGGCAAGCGUUGUCCGGAAUCAUUGGGCGUAAAGCGCGUGUAGGCGGCUGGGUAAGUCCGCUCUGAAAGCCCGGGGCUCAACCCCGGGAGGCGGGUGGAUACUGCUCAGCUCGAGUCCGGAAGAGGAGUGUGGAAUUCCUGGUCGUAGCGGUGAAAUGCGCAGAUAUCAGGAAGAACACCCGUGGCGAAAGCGGCUCUCUGGAACGGUACUGACGCUGAGACGCGAAAGCGUGGGGAGCGAACAGG